CCUAACGGGAGGCUGCAGUGGGGAAUAUUGGACAAUGGGGGCAACCCUGAUCCAGCCAUGCCGCGUGUGUGAAGAAGGCCCUCGGGUUGUAAAGCACUUUCAGUGAGGAAGAACGCCUGGUGGUUAAUACCCAUCAGGAAAGACAUCACUCACAGAAGAAGCACCGGCUAACUCCGUGCCAGCAGCCGCGGUAAUACGGAGGGUGCGAGCGUUAAUCGGAAUUACUGGGCGUAAAGCGCGCGUAGGUGGCUUGAUAAGCCGGUUGUGAAAGCCCCGGGCUCAACCUGGGAACGGCAUCCGGAACUGUCAAGCUAGAGUGCAGGAGAGGAAGGUAGAAUUCCCGGUGUAGCGGUGAAAUGCGUAGAGAUCGGGAGGAAUACCAGUGGCGAAGGCGGCCUUCUGGACUGACACUGACACUGAGGUGCGAAAGCGUGGGUAGCAAACAGGAUUAGAUACCCUGGUAGUC
This 466-nucleotide ribosomal RNA is filed under the name Vreelandella stevensii. Its description in RNAcentral is "partial 16S ribosomal RNA". It matches the Rfam family "Bacterial small subunit ribosomal RNA", at positions 338 to 795 of the family's 1533-position model. The record is from RNAcentral. Lineage: Bacteria; Pseudomonadati; Pseudomonadota; Gammaproteobacteria; Oceanospirillales; Halomonadaceae.